GCCCCCACCGGGACCCCCGCCCACUGGUUCCCGCCCCCUCCCACUUCGGGACCCCAAACCCGGCACUUCGGUUCCGGAUCCGCCGCGUACCCUGGAACCCCGACUAGCCGCUCCGCAGCGCGAGGCCGGCAGCAGCUGCGACCCGCAAACCCGGCGGGAAAAAGUUUAGGGAGAAGGAGGCCGAGGUGUCGGGCCGGGGUCCCCACCCGGAGCUUCCCGGCCGGCUCCGGCCCCGCAGGUCCUGCAGAGGCCGCGGGCACUGCCGUGACCUUGAGACGUGGGUCCCCGUCCUCGUGGGGCCGGCGCCCCGCGCCUCAGCGCAGCCGGGAGGGGGCGCCGUGGUCGGGCCGGAGACCCUCCUACGCCGGCGGCGACGCGGGGUCCCUGCGCCCCCCGAGGGUCCCGGACUCGGUGCUCGCCGUGCGCUCCUCGUCCCGGGCCGCAGGUAGGCCGCCCAGAGGGCUAACUCCACGCGGACCCGGCCGCCACCUGUGCCCCGGGACUCUCGGGCCUGCACCCCGUAGGAGCAGUCAUGGGAAGCAGCACGCAGGUUCUGAAGGCACUGCCCGGAUCAUCCCGGAUUCCGGGUGUAUUCCAGGACAGGACCCAGCGACUUAGGAAGCAAAGAAAAUGUCCCGACUGUCCACCCCACUCCGAAGAACGAGGCCUGGGAGGACUACCAGGAAGGCCGGGGCAGCUAGGACCUGCACAGUCCAGCGAGCGCGUGGGCAAAGCUCACUGCCUGGUGGUGUCCAGCUCCGCGGAGCAGAGGGGCUUGUCGGGGCGCACACGCAGGAGCUCGGCUGUCCUCUCCGUCCCGAGGGGAAGGAGGAUUCCCAGAGUACCAACCGCAGCAGGGCCUGUGCUGUCAAGGUCCCGUGAGAAACACCACCUUGUGGAAAACAGUGAAACGGUGUCACCACACACUGGCGGCCUCCCUUCUUUCAUGCUCUAAGCUGUCAGCUCAUGAAAUCUUGCAGGGGCAUUUCUUUCCUCUCCCCGCCUGAUUUCUUGAAGAAAGUCUGAGAUUUUCCUCCAACAGCUAGUUUGUCCAGUACACUGCAACCUGGUCUAGCUUCCAUAAUCGCUACCACUGUGCCUACGUGUUCAACGGAAAAGAGGAAAAAUGUGGAGGAAGAAAAACAGCAGAGAACGGGAAGCUACCAGAGUCCUCUAACACUGAAGAAUGGAAAGGAUGCUCGGAGAAGCCACUUGACAGCCCGCCAACACACGCUUCCGGUUUGCCUUAUCCUCCUUUGUUUUCAGCUAGGAGUAGACAUGGAUUCCUAAAUUUCCUGUUUUCAGAAUCUCAAGAAGCACAUGAAUAGUGUGUACUAAGCACAUUAUUUUUACUUGUUCUGAGAUGGAAGUCCAGACGUGCAAGCUUCUUGGACAAUCCUGGUUCUCUUAGACAAGCGAUGCUGGGGAAAUGACAGCUCCCUUGUUUAGUUUCCUCAUCGUUAAAAUGAAGGAAAUAAUGAAACAGAGUUCCUAGGGUUAUUUUAAGAGAUACAACAGAUACUUGACAAAAUUAAGGACCCUGUAGUGUUAGAAAAGGGUCAAUGACAUUUUAAAAUAUUUUUCAGAAUGUAAAGGAAACUAAUUUAUGAUGGGUUCUACCCGCAUGAAACUCAUAGUAACGCUUUCCCAACAUGACCCUGGGCCCCAGCGCAACAGCAGGUCCCCCACGCUGACUUCCUCGUUCUUCUUCCAAGCCCCAAAUUGAACUUCCUGCUUUUCCCGUGCGCUCCAGCAUUCCCCAAUCAGCUGUCAAUACGUCAUUGUGCCCGCCCCUUCUAACUCCACCCCUGUCAAACUGAUUAAAAACCCACCACUGCGUUGUCUUCCUCUGAGUGAUCUUGCACUUUUCUGGGACCCUCCCAUGCCUGCAAUAAAGACUUUUUUCUCUCAUUUUUUUUUUUCCCUCUUUCUGCUCUUGCUUUUCUACCGUGCAAAGGGAAUACCUAACAAUGUACAGUUAAUUUGGAGUUUCAGACUUGUCUAGAUUUUGCUGCUCCUUGCUUUUCUGUUUGGCUUCUAAUUUGAAAUACAUAUAUGUAUAUAUACUCAAAUGCCUCGAAUUUUAGGGAAAAUGCUUUAAAAACAGCUGAGUUAUGGCUGGGAAUUUAGCUCAGUGGUGUAAGCACCUGUAUGGCAAGUGUAAGGUCAUGAGUUCAAUCUGGUACCAAAAAAAUCAAAACAAAAAAAAUAGCCAAGUUCUAUGAAAAAAAAUUUUUUGGAGAGACCAGACAUGUGAUUUGCUUCUUACCAUUUAUUAUGGUUUUAAAUUUUACUUCACUGAGGUAAGAACAUGUGACAGGAAAUGUAGUCUCCUGUCUGGGUUUACAUGUGAACAUAGUAUUGGAAGCUUCAUGCUUUGCCAGUUUUGAACCUGGCAUCUGCUUAUCACCUCUGUGUCUCUUGGUGUUUUCCAUCUGAGUUAACGGUCACUGCCUGUUCUUUGCCAUCCUUUGUGCCACCCCCAGACUUUGCCAGGUGGCUGCCUAGGGUGACUGGCUUGGGUCUUCACCCCUUAGAAGUCACCUUGACAGUGGAACUGGGAAAUUCAAGAAGUGUUUCCCCAGGGAGAUAGAAAGUCAUAUAAAAACCAUGUCAGUGCCAAAGCCAAGGGAGUUUUAUCAUAAUAUGAGAAGUCAGAAGUUCGUAAUUUUUGUAGCGUGGAUUCAUCUAGCUGUUUUACCUGGAAGUAAGUCUCUGAAACUUCAUCAGCUUAAAAUAAAGGUUAAACCUUAUGAAAAAUUUAAAUAAAAAGAAACAGACUUAUCUAAGAGUGUUUGGCUGUGUAUUUAUUUGAUCAUUCAUUUAUCCUACUAAUUUCA
Long non-coding RNA from Cavia porcellus (domestic guinea pig), 2840 nucleotides. The record is from Ensembl. Lineage: Eukaryota; Metazoa; Chordata; Mammalia; Rodentia; Caviidae.